Molecule: long non-coding RNA, 4002 nt
Organism: Orcinus orca (killer whale)
Lineage: Eukaryota; Metazoa; Chordata; Mammalia; Artiodactyla; Delphinidae
Exons: 2
Source: RefSeq, a predicted model, not a curated record
CCGGAGCCCCGCAGCCCGCCGCCCCCUGCAAAGGCCCCCAUGGCCCUGGAGCAUUUGUUCUGCGGCUGCAAAGCUGUUUUUCUUCUCCCUCUACCCCUUGCCCGUUAUUUUUUUCUUUCUUUUUGGAAGCAGUGCUCUUUGGAGAUAAUAGUGCUUCUGGGAAACAAGGCUGAGAGUCUUGUUUGUUCAAAGAAAAUAUUUUUCUUCCACACACAAGUGCUAUGUUUAUGCCAUAAAUCGCCCUCCUCUGCUUCUGUCCUCCCGCCCACCUUUCUUCUGGCAUCUGUCCCCUCUUUGCGUUGGGCCCAGGCAGGGGGAGAGCACAGUCACUACUGCCCCCGCUGUAGGGGGGCUGGGGGCCCGGCGAUGCUCUGCUUGAAAGGGGCUGUACACCCUAGAGGCCCUCCCUGAUGGAUCGCAGCCGGGUCCCCCGCCUGCGUGGGGGGGGUUCUCCCCAACCCCAGGGCUGCCCGUCAGAGGCUUUGCGUAUGUUUGAGAUACUUGAGACGUGAUAGGGAGGGGUGUGAGGGGGCCUUGAGGCGGGGGACCCUCUGGCCUCCACCCUCUGCCUGGGCUUGGGGGCGCCGUGGUAGCGGAUCCCAGCAGUGCCACAGCCCCUUCCUGGCUCCACUCAAGGGGGGAGGGGCGAGGGCACCAUCCUUGAGGAGCAGCUGCCGCUUCUUCCCCCUGAACGCGAGCUUGGGGGCGGGGGUGUGGGCAGGGCUCUUGCCUGCUCCAGGCCCUGUGCCUGCCGGGCGCGUGGUGUGCAGCGUGCGUCUCUCCUGACCUCUCGGAGCCCACAGGCGGUCACCGUGCGUCCCUGCCUGCUCGCUGCCCAAGGGGCUUGCCUGCCCCAGGCACUUGGACAGGCCUGGGGCCUCGCUGGCCGUGGCCCCUGUGCCCUCCCGUGCGCCCCUGGGCCCUCCCGUGCGCCCCUGGGCCACACGCCCCGUCACCCACGCACACUUGUUUCUCUGUUCACCUGCUUGUUUCCAGGACUUGGCUGUUACAAAUAAAACCACUCAGAGCGUUCACGUGCCAGAUUCUGUGUGGACGUUUGCUUUCAUUUCUCUUGGGUAAAUAAAUAACCCUGGAGGAGAAUGACCAUAUCAUGGUAGGUGCCUGUCUAACUUUGUAAGAAACCGCUGAACUGUUUUCCAAAGUGACUGCAGCAUUUACGCGCCGCCCAGCUGAGUGUGAGCGUUCCCACUGUUCCACAUCCUCCACAAAACUUGGUGUAGUGACUCUUUCAUUUUAGCCAUUCUGGUGGGUGUGCGUAUCCCCUUGUGGGUUUUGGUUUUUUAAUUUUUACUGGAGUGUAGUUGAUUUAAAAUGUUGUGUUAGGGACUUCCCUGGUGGUUCAGUGGUUAAGGAUCCGCCUUCCAGUGCAAGGGGACGCAGGUUCCAUCCCUGGUCGGGGAACCAAGAUCCCACAUGCCGCAGAGCAACUAAGCCCGCGCCGCAAUGAGAGAGAAGCCCACGAGCCCCAGUGAAGAUCCUGUGAGCCGCAACUAAGACCCGACGAUAAAUAAAUAAUAAAAAAAGACAAAUGUUGUGUUAGUUUCAGGUGUAGAGCAGAGUGGUUCAGUUAUACAUACACAUAUAUCUACUCUCUUUUAGAUUCUUUUCCCGUAUAGGUCAUUACAGAGUAUCGAGUAGAGUUCCCUGUGCAGUAGGUCCUUAUUAGUUACCUGUUUUAUAUAGAGUAGCAUGUACAUGUCAAUCCCAGUCUCCCAGUUUAUCUCUCCCCCCUCUGCUUGUGGUUUUCGUUUGCAUUUCCCUAGUGACUAAGGAUGUAGAGCAUCUUUUCAUGUGCUUAUUUGCCGUCAGUGUAUCUUCUCUGGUGAAGUGUCUGUUCAAAUCUUCUGCCCAUUUUUUACAAUUGGGUCACUUGCCUUGCUAUUGAAUUGUAAAGUUUUUUUGUUUUUUAAUAGCUGAACAAAUCAUUUGUCACAUAUUACUUCUCUCCUGGGCAGUGACUUGCCAUUUUGGCUUUUUAACAUAAUGUCGUUUUAAGAGCAAACUUUAAAAAUUUCUUUUAAAUUGAGGUCCAAUUUACUGAUUUUUUUUUUCUUUUAUAACUUGGCUUUUUGUGUUGUUGUUUUUCAGAAAUGUUUGCCAAACCUGAGGCCACAAAGAUUUUUCUCUUAUGCUUUCUUAAGAAGUUGUGUGGUUUCAGUGCUUCCAUGUAGUCCUAUGAUCCCUUCUUUUUAUUAAGUACAUUCACAUUGCUGUGCAGCGAUCACCACCCUCAUCUCCAGAACUUUCUCAUCUUCCCAAACUGAAACUCUGUCCCCAUUAAUAACUCCCCCUCCCCCUCCCCCAGCUCCUGGCAACCACUGUUCUACUUUCUGUCUCUAUGAAUGUGAUACUCUGGGGACCUGACAUAAGUGGAAUCACACCAUAUUUAUCCUUUUGUGACUGGCCUAGUUCACUCAGCAUAAUGUCCUCAAGGUUCAUCCAUGUUGUAGCAUGUGUCAGAAGGUCCUUCCUUUUUUAAGGCUGAAAAAAACAUUCUGUUGUAUGGAUGGGACCACGUUUUGUUUAUCCGUUAAUCCAUUGCUUCUACCUUUUGGCUACUGUGAAUAGUGCUGCUGUGAACAACUAUCUCUUCAAGUCCCAGCUUUCAGUUCUUUUAAGCGUAUACCCGGAAGUAGAAUUGCUGGAUCAUGUGAUAGUUCUGUAUUUAAUUUUUGAGGAAACUCCAUUGUUUUCCACAGUGGCCACACCGUUCUACAUUCCCACCAACAGCGCACAAGGGUUCCAAUUUCUUCACAUCCUUGCCAACACUUGUUAUUUUCUGUUUUUGUUCUUGUUUUUGCUAGUCGCCAUCCUAGUGGGUGUGAAGCGGUAUCUCUUUGUGGUCUUGAUUUGUAUUUCUGUGAUGUUUAGUGAUGUCGAGCAUCUUUUCAUUUCCUUACUGGCCAUUUUUCUGUCUUCUUUGGGAAAAUGUCUAUCCAAAUCCUUACCCGUUUAACAAUCUUUUUUAGUUUUUUAUUUUUUUUCCUUUGCCCAUUUUUGAAUCCAGUUUGUUUUUGUUGAGUUGACAAUCUCUUCCUAAUCCUGUGCUUGACCACCCUCGGCGGUCCACCCCCCGGAAAUCGUCACCUCACCGCUGGGCUUCCCUCCCUCCUUCCUUCCGAGGUUGCUGGCUCCGCAGACCUCUAUUCCUGCCACCUUGUUCACACACAGGAGUCACCUCCUCCUCUUUCCCUGGUCCACGCAGGCCUGGGGAACUUCACUUCAUGCACUGGAGGCCAGAUGGGGUUUAGCUGAACAAAACACAAUCAGCCAGUGAGUGGGAAUCUCCACCUUCAUGUUUUUCCAUCUAACACGUUUAUUUAAUGUCAGCUAGGUGUGAGACGUUGAGCUCGGAUAUUCAGUUGUGGGCUAAAGCCUAUCUUCCAGAAGGAGCAAGAAGAUGCUGUGCUGGCCGGCUUCCAAAAUGGCGUCCAAUGUUCACUCCCGUGGGGUCCCCUCCUGUGCUGAGUAGGCCUGACCUGAGUUCCAGGAUAUUGCAGAAACGAUGGAGGCUAAGUCAACAAAGGCAUUCCGGGGGACUUCCCUGGUGGUCCAGUGGUGGAGGCUCAGGACUUUCACUGCCAAGGGCCCGGGUUCAAUCCCUGGUCGGGGAGCUAGGAUCCCGCAAGCCGCGCUGUGGGGCCAAAAACAAACAAAAAAGACAUUACAGCUCAGCCUCCCUCCCUUGGGUCACUUGCCCUGGGGGAAGCCAGCUGCCAUGUUGUCAGGGUGCUCAAGAAGCCGUGUAGAGAGGUCCACAUGGUGAAGAACUGAGAUCUCCAGCCAGCAGCCAUGAGGGUGACCCAUCUUGGACGUGGAGUCUCCAGCCCAGUCAAGCCUUUUGAUGACUGAAGUCCCAGCCGACAGCUUGACUGCAGCCUCGAGAGAGAGCCUGGGCCAAGGCACCCAGCUAAAUGCUCCUGGAGGUCUUCCGCACGGAAACUGUGUGAGGUGAUAAAUGCUUAUUGUUUUAAGCUGCUA